This 30-nucleotide non-coding RNA is filed under the name Mus musculus (house mouse). Lineage: Eukaryota; Metazoa; Chordata; Mammalia; Rodentia; Muridae. The record is from RNAcentral.
UAAAUUUCUUAUUUAAAACAAGAGGGCCGA